RNAcentral lists this ribosomal RNA (499 nucleotides) under uncultured Glomeromycotina. RNAcentral describes it as "partial small subunit ribosomal RNA". It matches the Rfam family "Eukaryotic small subunit ribosomal RNA", at positions 591 to 1092 of the family's 1831-position model. Lineage: Eukaryota; Fungi; Glomeromycota. The record is from RNAcentral.
CCAAUAGCGUAUAUUAAAGUUGUUGCAGUUAAAAAGCUCGUAGUUGAAUUUUGGAUUCUUCCAAUUGGUCCAUCUUUUAGAUGAGUACUGGUUGUGUGGGGUCUAUCCGCCUGGUGAUACGUAAUGUCCUUUAUUGGAUGUUGCGGGUAGUCAGGACCUUUACCUUGAAAAAAUUAGAGUGUUUAAAGCAGGCUUAUGCCGGAAUACAUUAGCAUGGAAUAAUAGAAUAGGACGAAGUUGUUUUAUUUUGUUGGUUUCUAGGACAACCGUAAUGAUUAAUAGGGACAGUUGGGGGCAUUAGUAUUCAAUUGUCAGAGGUGAAAUUCUUGGAUUUAUUGAAGACUAACUACUGCGAAAGCAUUUGCCAAGGAUGUUUUCAUUAAUCAAGAACGAAAGUUAGGGGAUCGAAGACGAUCAGAUACCGUCGUAGUCUUAACCAUAAACUAUGCCGACUAGGGAUCGGGCGAUGUUGUUUCCAUGACUCGCUCGGCACCUUAUG